RNAcentral lists this ribosomal RNA (459 nucleotides) under uncultured bacterium. RNAcentral describes it as "partial 16S ribosomal RNA". It matches the Rfam family "Bacterial small subunit ribosomal RNA", at positions 338 to 795 of the family's 1533-position model. The record is from RNAcentral.
CCUACGGGGGGCAGCAGUGAGGAAUAUUGGUCAAUGGGCGCGAGCCUGAACCAGCCAAGUCGCGUGAGGGAAGACGGUCCUAUGGAUUGUAAACCUCUUUUGUCGGGGAGCAAAAGACGCCACGCGUGGCGUUCCGCGAGUACCCGAAGAAAAAGCAUCGGCUAACUCCUUGCCAGCAGCCGCGGUAAUACGGAGGAUGCGAGCGUUAUCCGGAUUUAUUGGGUUUAAAGGGUGCGCAGGCGGAAGAUCAAGUCAGCGGUAAAAUUGAGAGGCUCAACCUCUUCGAGCAGUUGAAACUGGUUUUCUUGAGUGAGUGAGAAGUAUGCGGAAUGCGUGGUGUAGCGGUGAAAUGCAUAGAUAUCACGCAGAACUCCGGUUGCGAAGGCAGCAUACCGGCGCUCAACUGACGCUCAUGCACGAAAGUGUGGGUAUCGAACAGGAUUAGAUACCCUUGUAGUC